RNAcentral lists this ribosomal RNA (476 nucleotides) under Salmonella enterica subsp. enterica serovar Oranienburg. RNAcentral describes it as "partial 23S ribosomal RNA". It matches the Rfam family "Bacterial large subunit ribosomal RNA", at positions 2329 to 2804 of the family's 2925-position model. The record is from RNAcentral. Lineage: Bacteria; Pseudomonadati; Pseudomonadota; Gammaproteobacteria; Enterobacterales; Enterobacteriaceae.
GGUCGGACAUCAGGAGGUUAGUGCAAUGGCAUAAGCCAGCUUGACUGCGAGCGUGACGGCGCGAGCAGGUGCGAAAGCAGGUCAUAGUGAUCCGGUGGUUCUGAAUGGAAGGGCCAUCGCUCAACGGAUAAAAGGUACUCCGGGGAUAACAGGCUGAUACCGCCCAAGAGUUCAUAUCGACGGCGGUGUUUGGCACCUCGAUGUCGGCUCAUCACAUCCUGGGGCUGAAGUAGGUCCCAAGGGUAUGGCUGUUCGCCAUUUAAAGUGGUACGCGAGCUGGGUUUAGAACGUCGUGAGACAGUUCGGUCCCUAUCUGCCGUGGGCGCUGGAGAACUGAGGGGGGCUGCUCCUAGUACGAGAGGACCGGAGUGGACGCAUCACUGGUGUUCGGGUUGUCAUGCCAAUGGCACUGCCCGGUAGCUAAAUGCGGAAGAGAUAAGUGCUGAAAGCAUCUAAGCACGAAACUUGCCCCGAGA